This 483-nucleotide ribosomal RNA is filed under the name uncultured bacterium. RNAcentral describes it as "SSU rRNA". It matches the Rfam family "Bacterial small subunit ribosomal RNA", at positions 26 to 523 of the family's 1533-position model. The record is from RNAcentral.
AGGACGAACGCUGGCGGCGUGCUUAACACAUGCAAGUCGAACGGAAAGGCCCGCUUGCGGGUACUCGAGUGGCGAACGGGUGAGUAACACGUGGGCAACCUGCCCUCAGCUUCGGGAUAACACUUGGAAACAGGUGCUAAUACCGGAUAAUAACCUUUCAUCGCAUGGUGGUGGGUUCAAAGUUUUUCGGUCUGAGGAUGGGCCCGCGGCCUAUCAGCUUGUUGGUGGGGUAAUGGCCUACCAAGGCGACGACGGGUAGCCGGCCUGAGAGGGCGACCGGCCACACUGGGACUGAGACACGGCCCAGACUCCUACGGGAGGCAGCAGUGGGGAAUAUUGCGCAAUGGGCGAAAGCCUGACGCAGCGACGCCGCGUGAGGGAUGACGGCCUUCGGGUUGUAAACCUCUUUCAGCUCUGACGAAGCGCAAGUGACGGUAGGAGCAGAAGAAGCACCGGCCAACUACGUGCCAGCAGCCGCGGUAA